AUUGAACGCUGGCGACAGGCUUAACACAUGCGAGUCGAGCGGGGGAAGGUAGCUUGCUACCGGACCUAGCGGCGGACGGGUGAGUAAUGCUUAGGAAUCUGCCUAUUAGUGGGGGACAACAUCUCGAAAGGGAUGCUAAUACCGCAUACGUCCUACGGGAGAAAGCAGGGGAUCUUCGGACCUUGCGCUAAUAGAUGAGCCUAAGUCGGAUUAGCUAGUUGGUGGGGUAAAGGCCUACCAAGGCGACGAUCUGUAGCGGGUCUGAGAGGAUGAUCCGCCACACUGGGACUGAGACACGGCCCAGACUCCUACGGGAGGCAGCAGUGGGGAAUAUUGGACAAUGGGGGGAACCCUGAUCCAGCCAUGCCGCGUGUGUGAAGAAGGCCUUAUGGUUGUAAAGCACUUUAAGCGAGGAGGAGGCUACUUUAGUUAAUACCUAGAGAUAGUGGACGUUACUCGCAGAAUAAGCACCGGCUAACUCUGUGCCAGCCGCCGCAGUAA
This 501-nucleotide ribosomal RNA is filed under the name uncultured bacterium. Its description in RNAcentral is "partial 16S ribosomal RNA". It matches the Rfam family "Bacterial small subunit ribosomal RNA", at positions 30 to 523 of the family's 1533-position model. The record is from RNAcentral.